GACUAAGCCAAGGGUUAACAUAAUGUGUGUUGUCUCUUCAUGUGCAGGCCUACUCUCUGGGGGCCUCCCAGUCAACACAUUCAUCCUUGGGCUAUCCUCUACUCUCUUCACUGCCCUACUCAAACUCUGGGCCUUGUGGCAUUGGGCCAGCCUGUGAGGUGGUGGUCUUUGUGUGAUUGUCUAGGCAGAAAGCCAGAGGCAGGACGAGCCUGCAGUGGAGUUGUUGUGGGUGAGUUAGUGACCGUGCCAGGCUAUUCCCGGGGACCGCAGAGUGCCGAGUAGAUAGCAGAUGAGCCGCUCUGCUCUUUCCUCGAUACAGACACUGGUAGAUGACAGCCUCAGCAACGGACACAGGAACAGUAUCUCCCCUGUCCUCCCAUCUAUUGUCCCCAGAGGGAGUAAUUGUGUUCUGGCUGAUGGUAAAGGCCAUCCAGACCAUCUCCUUCCUCAACUUGUUCUUCCCACUGGUGGUACCCCUGUCCUCCUGGCAGUGUGAGAUCCAUGUCUGGGCCCUUCAGAUGAACAUGAUGGUGUAUGUGGGGGGCAUUGUACGACUAGGACACAAUGACACAACAUAUUUAUUCGGUACAUUUAAUUCCCUUUAGUAUAAAAACAAUAUGCAGCAUUCAUUUUGAUUGUUGCUAUAGUUUUCAGGAGUGUAUGUCCAUUGUCUAUGAUUCAGUUUAUUUUGAGAGCAAAUGCACUCCACUGGUGAUCUAGUUUGCUAUGAUGUCAGCAGAAAUGUGAUGAUGACACAGAAUGAAGUGAUGAAAUCGUGAGUUUGUUGUCUCUGGCAGCCCCUGAGGUACUGGCUCAGAAAUCCUACAGCAAUCCUGUCAAGUUCAGUAUGCAUUACAUUAUAUUGCCAGUAUUACUCAUCCUUGUCAGUGAUUUCGUAUUAUUGGAAAUGGUCCCUGGGAUUGGUGUUGCUUUGAGCGUGUGCAAAACUGUCAGUGUGUAUGGGAGAAGCCAUAAUACAGUGACUGGCCAAGGAAUAAUCACUGACAGUGUCACUGUGUGAGAUGAUUACUUAAGAGAGCACAAGAAAUCAUGGUGAGAACUUAGAGUACAUCUGCUUUUUUCCCUCAUCUGUAUUUCUGUAGAUUUUUUCAUGGUUAUUAUCCCUCCCCCUUGACAACAUAUAGAGGAAUGGUUCACUAACGUUACCUGCAUGAUCAGAGGACAGGCAGACAUUUCCUCGUGCAUGUUAAUUGGCCACAGGAUGUGUGCGAAUACAAAACCACAUUUAUAAGUGGAGAUAUGUCACUCUUGCUCUCACCAUAAGGUCACGUUAAAUUGAUACUUUUGGUGAACUAUUUGCACAUACAGUAUUUAAAGUGGGAUUUGAUGUUAUUCAGUCAAGACUACGAAUGAUUUUAUUUGCGCCCCCUUGUUUUCCCCAAUACUGUUUAAAUGUCUGUCACUUUUAAGAACGAGCCUGUCAUGUUUUGUCAUUGAUUAUCAUGUCUUGUCCCUGUGCUUCCCCUUCUAUUCGUUUCCCUCUGCUGCUCUUAAUAGGUUCUUUCCCUCUUUCUAUCCCUCUCUCUCCC
This is a long non-coding RNA of Oncorhynchus gorbuscha (pink salmon), 1550 nucleotides long. RefSeq lists it as uncharacterized. NCBI's taxonomy places the organism in Eukaryota, Metazoa, Chordata, Actinopteri, Salmoniformes, Salmonidae. The transcript has 4 exons. The record is from RefSeq and is a predicted model, not a curated record.